Molecule: ribosomal RNA, 497 nt
Filed under: uncultured bacterium
Lineage: Bacteria
Description: partial 16S ribosomal RNA
Rfam family: Bacterial small subunit ribosomal RNA
Source: RNAcentral
GAUGAACGCUGGCGGCGUGCCUAAUACAUGCAAGUCGAGCGAACAGACGAGGAGCUUGCUCCUCUGACGUUAGCGGCGGACGGGUGAGUAACACGUGGAUAACCUACCUAUAAGACUGGGAUAACUUCGGGAAACCGGAGCUAAUACCGGAUAAUAUAUUGAACCGCAUGGUUCAAUAGUGAAAGACGGUUUUGAUGUCACUUAUAGAUGGAUCCGCGCCGCAUUAGCUAGUUGGUAAGGUAACGGCUUACCAAGGCGACGAUGCGUAGCCGACCUGAGAGGGUGAUCGACCACACUGGAACUGAGACACGGUCCAGACUCCUACGGGAGGCAGCAGUAGGGAAUCUUCCGCAAUGGGCGAAAGCCUGACGGAGCAACGCCGCGUGAGUGAUGAAGGUCUUCGGAUCGUAAAACUCUGUUAUUAGGGAAGAACAAAUGUGUAAGUAACUAUGCACGUCUUGACGGUACCUAAUCAGAAAGCCACGGCUAACUACGUG